This is a long non-coding RNA of Rhododendron vialii, 584 nucleotides long. RefSeq lists it as uncharacterized. The record is from RefSeq and is a predicted model, not a curated record. NCBI's taxonomy places the organism in Eukaryota, Viridiplantae, Streptophyta, Magnoliopsida, Ericales, Ericaceae. The transcript has 2 exons.
UGUGGUGCGGACUUGAUGCCACAGCCGUGAGAUUUAAUCCAACGGCUCACGUUUUAAAAUGAAUCUCGCGGGUCCUUUCCGGGUAAAAAAUACGGGUUAAAACAAAAUCCCCCCCUUCUGCUUCCAUUUCACGCGUUCAACCCAGAGAAGAGAGAGACUGAAGAAGAUAUCGAGAAGAAGAAGAAAGAACGAAGAAGAAGACGAAGAAGAAAGAGCAGCACUCCGGACGACGAACGACGACCGACGGAACAUAAUGGAUGUGAUUUCUUCCAUUGGAUUGACCCCCAAAGAAACAUGGAGGUGGAAGAAAUUACAAGAGAGAAUCAAGUACUGACCAAAAGGAAUGAGAAGUUGAGAAAAAAAUUACAAGAAGCUGAAGCUAAAGUGUGUGACUACAAAAUGAGGUGCUUGAUUAUGUCAGCUUUAUGCAUUGUCAUGUGGUUCAUCUACAAUGAUGUAACUGUUCCGAACAUGAGGAACAUGAAAUACCCGCCUUAGUUGAUUAGGUUGUGAAUGUAAUCCAACUUCUUUUUGAACAAUUUCUUGGUUAAGGUUGGAACUGAAUGAAAUUUGUUGGUGCUUGA